RNAcentral lists this ribosomal RNA (162 nucleotides) under uncultured bacterium. RNAcentral's name for it is "partial 16S ribosomal RNA". It matches the Rfam family "Bacterial small subunit ribosomal RNA", at positions 358 to 511 of the family's 1533-position model. The record is from RNAcentral.
GGAAUCUUCGGCAAUGGACGAAAGUCUGACCGAGCAACGCCGCGUGAGUGAAGAAGGUUUUCGGAUCGUAAAACUCUGUUGGUAGAGAAGAACGUUGGCGAGAGUGGAAAGCUCAUCAAGUGACGGUAACUACCCAGAAAGGGACGGCUAACUACGUGCCAG